Long non-coding RNA from Mustela erminea (ermine), 855 nucleotides. RefSeq lists it as uncharacterized. Lineage: Eukaryota; Metazoa; Chordata; Mammalia; Carnivora; Mustelidae. The record is from RefSeq and is a predicted model, not a curated record. The transcript has 2 exons.
GAUCCCGUCUUGACAGUUGUAGGUGAAACGUGAUGGUUCCGUGUCACUGUGACGUGCCCGUUUGUGUGCAUGCAGAAAUGCAGCCACAAAGACUGGGCUGAACCCUGACCAUGGGUGAAGGGUCUGCAUUACCCCAGACGAUGGGGUGGCGGUGUAAUUGCAAGAUGACUCACGCUGGAUGUUUUUAUUCUCCUGAGACCAACGGAGUGCUAGGUGAGGAUCAGAGGACACUGUCAUUGUGUCCAGCAGAGCCUGAAUUACCGGAUGCUGGACACCUUCAGAGGUCCCUGUGUAUCUGCGUGCUUUACAACCUUAUUAUUAAAAGUGUUACUGCUGAUACAAAAUUUAAUUUUUGGAAAGUUAUUUAUUGGAUAGGCUCCUAACAGUAUUGAGGACACGCUUCUCAAUAAAGUGUAUAGUUUUCGUAAAGGAAAUAAUUACUUAGUGGUUGCUGCAGAUAAGGCCAACACUUCAUUAACAGAAGUAAAAGGAUGAAAAGAAACAGAAAUGGCUCAGUUGCUGUCUAAACUUGAUAUGUAUGUCCCAGCUUUUCUAUUUUUGUGUGUGAUCCAGACUCUUGUUAGAAUUCUGAGUUUAUGACACCUGUGUGCACACAUUUCUCUCCUUGCUGAAAUAGAGCAGGAGAACCUGGUGACUGAGCUCUGGGUGUUUUUAGAGCCAGCUUCAAGUCCGCAUGCAGAUGCACAAUUAUGGAAUAGCUCUUUGCACAAUCAGAGACUGUCAGAGCGUUAUUACCUCCAGGAUGAAAUCCAGUCUGUCUUGCUCUCUGCAGACUGACCUCAGGCUUGCUUUCUUUUCUUCCUUUUUUUUUUUUUUCUUUAAAAUUUUAGGAAA